AGCAUUACGCAGGGGAGUCUCGCUUUGGAGACUGAGAGGCUGACAGGGCAAAUGCCCGGUGAUGCGACCCUUUGAACCUGACCCAGUUGACACUGGCGUAGGAAGCUAGGGAUGCAUUGCC
This 121-nucleotide non-coding RNA is filed under the name Rhodobacteraceae bacterium KLH11. RNAcentral describes it as "TPP riboswitch aptamer (THI element)". It matches the Rfam family "TPP riboswitch aptamer (THI element)". From Rfam's summary of the family: Vitamin B(1) in its active form thiamin pyrophosphate (TPP) is an essential coenzyme that is synthesised by coupling of pyrimidine and thiazole moieties in bacteria. The previously detected thiamin-regulatory element, thi box was extended, resulting in a new, highly conserved RNA secondary structure, the THI element, which is widely distributed in eubacteria and also occurs in some archaea. Analysis of operon structures identified a large number of new candidate thiamin-regulated genes, mostly transporters, in various prokaryotic organisms. Lineage: Bacteria; Pseudomonadati; Pseudomonadota; Alphaproteobacteria; Rhodobacterales; Paracoccaceae. RNAcentral also lists the same sequence under 1 other name. The record is from Rfam by way of RNAcentral.